CCUACGGGAGGCAGCAGUGGGGAAUCUUGCGCAAUGGGCGAAAGCCUGACGCAGCGACGCCGCGUGAGGGAUGAAGGUCUUCGGAUCGUAAACCUCUGUCAGCAGGGAAGAACGGUCACUGUGCUAAUCGGCAGUGCAUUGACGGUACCUGCAAAGGAAGCACCGGCUAACUCCGUGCCAGCAGCCGCGGUAAUACGGAGGGUGCGAGCGUUAAUCGGAAUUACUGGGCGUAAAGCGCUCGUAGGCGGUAUGUCAAGUCAAGGGUGAAAUCCCCGCGCUCAACGUGGGAACUGCCUUUGAAACUGGCAAACUGGAGUGUGUGAGAGGAUAGUGGAAGUCCAGGUGUAGGAGUGAAAUCCGUAGAUAUCUGGAGGAACAUCAGUGGCGAAGGCGACUAUCUGGCACAUAACUGACGCUGAGGAGCGAAAGCGUGGGUAGCAAACAGGAUUAGAUACCCUAGUAGUC
RNAcentral lists this ribosomal RNA (465 nucleotides) under uncultured bacterium. RNAcentral describes it as "partial 16S ribosomal RNA". It matches the Rfam family "Bacterial small subunit ribosomal RNA", at positions 338 to 795 of the family's 1533-position model. The record is from RNAcentral.